This is a long non-coding RNA of Malania oleifera, 451 nucleotides long. RefSeq lists it as uncharacterized. NCBI's taxonomy places the organism in Eukaryota, Viridiplantae, Streptophyta, Magnoliopsida, Santalales, Ximeniaceae. The record is from RefSeq and is a predicted model, not a curated record. The transcript has 2 exons.
AAUAAAUGAAGUUUGGUGAAUACUGAAGAGGCAGUGCCCGAGGGAUCGAGAUGUUGAUGUAUCGAGCCAUCAUCCAUCUCCAUCUCUAACUUAUAUCUAAGAACCUAAGCGGUUUUGGGCCUGAAGCAACACCACCAACAACAGCAACGGCAGCAGCAGCCGAAGCAAGUGAGACCACCAACUCCAAUGAUAACUCAAUUCACGAUGAACAUGUGGCUGUCUGUAGGUACUGCCGCUAUAUGUCUUCCAAGAAAUUCCAUUGCUGCAGGUACCUACGCUUGAACACGACUUCUUUCGACAAGCGAGUUGUUCCCACCGGCUCAAACCCCUUGCACAAUUGAUUAAGUGCGACAAGUUAAGCAAAACAUGUAUUUAGAUUAUCACAAUGCAAGUGUUUCAGAUUUUUCUUAUUAUUAGAAAAAGAUCAAUUAAUGGAGUUUCACUUGCAUGC